GAGCGCGCCCGGGCGGCCAGCGCCGAGCGCGCGGAGCUGGCGUGGGGAGACACGGCAGGAAAGGCGAGCCGGAGUGGGUGAUGAGAGGCCGGGAGAGCCCGUCCGAGCCGGAGAGACCGGAGAGAAGGGAGCGAGCGAGUGUGCGGCGCGCACGCUGCCAGAGCCCGGGCGGAGUGCAGUCGCCUCCAAAGCCUUAGAGCGGCGCCCCAGUCACUGCAGCUCUUCACCCUAGAGCUGUGCCCUGGGACCACAGAGACCAAGAGCAUGGAAAUCGGCUGAGAGGGUUUUGGAAGGCCUGAUGACCCUAUGCAUCCCUGGAUGACUUUCUUGGAUCACUCUCUAAAGUCUCUUCCAACUCUGAAAUUUUUAUAUUUUAUUCUGCUUUUACUAUUUUCACAUGGUUAUCCAGUGGCAGGAUCUACAUAUCCCUUCAAAUUACAUUAAGCUAGCUGUUUAGGGUUUUCUUUAUAGGAUAAUUAAGUAGCUAGAACUAGAAAAUACAGUUAUAAAUCUGAGAUCUCAGUUUUUUAUAAAAUUUUUCACAUACAUUUUAAUGCUAUUGACAACUUU
This 570-nucleotide small RNA is filed under the name Pongo abelii (Sumatran orangutan). Its description in RNAcentral is "processed transcript". Lineage: Eukaryota; Metazoa; Chordata; Mammalia; Primates; Hominidae. The record is from RNAcentral.